GAGCACUGCUGCGGGAGGAAGUUCCCGUUGGCGUCACACUGCGGGACGAACAUACCGAUGGGUACGUGGGCAGCGACGUGGUGAUCACUGAAGUUUGCUACGGGCCCCUCGUCACUGAGUCCACCACCUGAAUAAAAGUCUCUCCUGUUAAAGUUGGAAACACUUCCUUCUGUUCCUGAAGAAAACCCUCGCCAGCAAACGUGAUACAGGCAGCAACAACAAUUCCUCUAAACUUAUAAAACAAAUAAAUGGUAUACAAAUCCGAUUCUGUAUUAGAAAA
Acanthopagrus latus (yellowfin seabream) is the source of this 280-nucleotide long non-coding RNA. RefSeq lists it as uncharacterized. The transcript has 2 exons. The record is from RefSeq and is a predicted model, not a curated record. NCBI's taxonomy places the organism in Eukaryota, Metazoa, Chordata, Actinopteri, Spariformes, Sparidae.